RNAcentral lists this ribosomal RNA (274 nucleotides) under uncultured bacterium. RNAcentral's name for it is "partial 16S ribosomal RNA". It matches the Rfam family "Bacterial small subunit ribosomal RNA", at positions 523 to 796 of the family's 1533-position model. The record is from RNAcentral.
AUACGGAGGGUGCAAGCGUUACUCGGAAUCACUGGGCGUGAAGCGCGCGCAGGCGGCUAUUUAAGUUGGAUGUGAAAGCCUACGGCUCAACCGUAGAACUGCAUCCAAAACUAUUUAGCUAGAGUGUGGGAGAGGAAGAUGGAAUUAGUUGUGUAGGGGUAAAAUCCGUAGAGAUAACUAGGAAUACCAAAAGCGAAGGCAAUCUUCUGGAACACUACUGACGCUGAGGCGCGAAAGCGUGGGGAGCAAACAGGAUUAGAAACCCUAGUAGUCC